UACGAAGGGGGCUAGCGUUGCUCGGAAUUACUGGGCGUAAAGCGCACGUAGGCGGAUCGUUAAGUCGGGGGUGAAAUCCUGGAGCUCAACUCCAGAACUGCCUUCGAUACUGGCGAUCUCGAGUUCGGGAGAGGUGAGUGGAACUGCGAGUGUAGAGGUGAAAUUCGUAGAUAUUCGCAAGAACACCAGUGGCGAAGGCGGCUUACUGGUCCGGUUCUGACGCUGAGGCGCGAAAGCGUGGGGAGCAAACAGG
Molecule: ribosomal RNA, 253 nt
Filed under: uncultured bacterium
Lineage: Bacteria
Description: partial 16S ribosomal RNA
Rfam family: Bacterial small subunit ribosomal RNA
Source: RNAcentral